This 464-nucleotide ribosomal RNA is filed under the name uncultured bacterium. RNAcentral describes it as "partial 16S ribosomal RNA". It matches the Rfam family "Bacterial small subunit ribosomal RNA", at positions 338 to 795 of the family's 1533-position model. The record is from RNAcentral.
CCUACGGGUGGCUGCAGUAGGGAAUUUUCGUCAAUGGGCGCAAGCCUGAACGAGCAAUGCCGCGUGAACGAGGAAGGUCUUCGGAUCGUAAAGUUCUGUUGAAGGGGAAAAAGAGCGGAGAGAGGAAAUGCUUUCUGAUUGAUAUUACCCUUCGAGGAAGUCACGGCUAACUACGUGCCAGCAGCCGCGGUAAUACGUAGGUGGCGAGCGUUAUCCGGAAUGAUUGGGCGUAAAGGGUGCGUAGGCGGCCUGCUAAGUCUGGAGGGAAAGGUACCGGCUCAACCGGUACAGGCUCUGGAAACUGGCGGGCUAGAGAGCAGGAGAGGGCGGUGGAACUCCAUGUGUAGCGGUAAAAUGCGUAGAUAUAUGGAAGAACACCAGUAGCGAAGGCGGCCGCCUGGCCUGCCACUGACAUUGAUGCUCGAAAGUGUGGGUAUCAAACAGGAUUAGAUACCCCAGUAGUC